AGAUCUCGGCCUCUCUCUCUCUAUCCUCUUCCUUAUUCACUCCAUCGAUGACGACGCCCUCUCUCUCAUCUUCCCUCUUCUCUCCAUCGACGACGAUGACACCCGCUCUCUCUCCUCUUCCUUAUUUGCUCCAUCCACAAUGACACCCUCUCUCUCAUCUUCCUUCUUUCUCAUGCGAAGCUCUGUUUUUCAUUUGGUGAGGGAAAUGUGGUAAUCUCAUCGCUUCCAGUAAAGCAAGGUGUAACUUCUAUGAGGAAUUCCAAAAGGCGCAAGUAUCCCAUCCUGUGGUUUGGAAGCAUUAGGGAACAAAUCAGUUAGGUAAUGGUGCUUUGGAGCGGAUUCGCAUGGAUGUACAGACAGGGCAGGGACUAAUUGAUACGAACUUUGUAUUAGCAGGUGGCGUUGAUGGCUCUUUAAGGUAGAGAAAAAGAUAGAGAAAAAAAAAAAAGAGAAAGAGGGUAUUUUGGCAUUUUAAAAAAUUAAA
This is a non-coding RNA of Prunus avium (sweet cherry), 484 nucleotides long. Lineage: Eukaryota; Viridiplantae; Streptophyta; Magnoliopsida; Rosales; Rosaceae. The record is from RefSeq and is a predicted model, not a curated record.